UGGGGAAUAUUGCACAAUGGGCGCAAGCCUGAUGCAGCCAUGCCGCGUGUAUGAAGAAGGCCUUCGGGUUGUAAAGUACUUUCAGUCGGGAGGAAGGUGGUAAGGUUAAUAACCUUAUCAAUUGACGUUACCGACAGAAGAAGCAUCGGCUAACUCCGUGCCAGCAGCCGCGGUAAUACGGAGGGUGCAAGCGUUAUUCGGAAUUACUGGGCGUAAAGCGCACGCAGGCGGUUGAUUGAGUCAGAUGUGAAAUCCCCGGGCUUAACCCGGGAAUUGCAUCUGAUACUGGUCAGCUAGAGUCGUGUAGAGGGGGGUAGAAUUCCAUGUGUAGCGGUGAAAUGCGUAGUGAUGUGGAGGAAUACCGGUGGCGAAGGCGGCCCCCUGGACAAAGACUGACGCUCAGGUGCGAAAGAGUGGGGAGCAAACAGG
Molecule: ribosomal RNA, 429 nt
Filed under: Chloroflexota bacterium
Lineage: Bacteria; Bacillati; Chloroflexota
Description: Chloroflexi bacterium partial 16S ribosomal RNA
Rfam family: Bacterial small subunit ribosomal RNA
Source: RNAcentral